RNAcentral lists this transfer RNA (77 nucleotides) under Flavobacteriaceae bacterium. RNAcentral's name for it is "tRNA-Leu". It matches the Rfam family "tRNA". Rfam says of the family: Transfer RNA (tRNA) molecules are approximately 80 nucleotides in length. Their secondary structure includes four short double-helical elements and three loops (D, anti-codon, and T loops). Lineage: Bacteria; Pseudomonadati; Bacteroidota; Flavobacteriia; Flavobacteriales; Flavobacteriaceae. The record is from RNAcentral.
GCCAGAGUGAGGUAAGUGGUACGCCUCUCGUUCUCAAAAAUCGAGGUUUGCAGGUUCGAAUCCUGCCUCUGGCACCA